UCUCCCAAAACUCUCUCAAACGCUCUCCCAAUCUCUCUCAAAUUCUGUUUCUCUCUCUCUCUCUCUACUUUGGGUCCAGCAGUGAAGGAAGAAGAAAUCCGAAGUUCUCUCUCUCCCGUAGUGUAUCCUUGUGUGUUCGGUUUAUGAUGUUAAUGAAAGGGAAGAGAAUGAAGAAAACAAAAGAAGGAACACCUUGUUGCUCUCACGAGUUACAUCUCUUUUAAAAGGAAAUGAGAAAAAUACUCUGUUUCAUGUGCUACAGCAAGGGUGCAGUUUUAGCCCCUUUUCUAGAAGCCUUUGUCACCAAUUGUAUGGAAACCCUUUUGGAAGCAAAAGAAGGAUUUGAGAACGAAGAGUACCAGGACUAUCCAGAUGCUUAGAUGGAUCUGAGUAGCAGUCUUUUCCUGUGUUGUGGUCUCUUGGAUGUGAUAGACUACCCUUCUUAGUUUAUUAUCCCAUGCACCAGUGUCAAACUCUUUUUAUAUGCCUCUUC
Molecule: long non-coding RNA, 493 nt
Organism: Alnus glutinosa
Lineage: Eukaryota; Viridiplantae; Streptophyta; Magnoliopsida; Fagales; Betulaceae
Exons: 3
Source: RefSeq, a predicted model, not a curated record